RNAcentral lists this long non-coding RNA (1805 nucleotides) under Lupinus angustifolius (narrow-leaved blue lupine). RNAcentral describes it as "long non-coding RNA (LANG_LNC003749)". Lineage: Eukaryota; Viridiplantae; Streptophyta; Magnoliopsida; Fabales; Fabaceae. The record is from RNAcentral.
CUCAUACGGGUUCUUUGAUCCCCAAAUUAGAAAAGGGAAUUUCAAUCCCUAGCCUCCCUUCUUCUUCGCUCCUUCGACGGCAAUGGUGACGGUUUGUGGCGAGUUGCGGUGGAUUAUGGUGGUUCUCAUUGAGGUUGUCUCCUCCUUUCUUCCUCCUCUCGGUGUCUCUAAUAGUAAAGGGAGUGGGGAUUCUCUAAAUCCCCUUUUCUGUUUCCUUUUGGUUCGAUGAGGAUAGACUCAUAUCCUUCUACAAUUUAUGUUCAUAUUUGAUUGAUUUUUGGUUGCUGUUUGGAUUUAUUGAAUAGGUGAAUUAAGGGAGAAUGGAGAUGACAUGGAGUGGUGGUUCGGUAGAGUGGUGGUUCGGUGGACGAAGAUGAAAGGACGGUCUCUCCUGAGAUAAUGGUUUACGGUGGUCCUAGAUCAAUAAUUUAUUGUCGCGGUGGCUCACGGUGGUUCCGAAUCGAAGGUGAUUUUUUUUAUUUUAACGACUAUCCAAUGUUUCAGAAUAUGUAUGUUAGAUGUAUGCGUCUCAUUUUGAUAUGUAGGUUAUCCUGCGUGUACUUUACUUGUAAUUAUAUAAUGAAAAGGAUGGUUGCCUUACCUGAAUGUGUUCAUACUUACACGUUGAUGUUAUUGAAUCCUUGUUGAGUUCAUGCCUUUUGUUCUUCGGCUCCUGCCUCUGUGUAUAUGGGACUAUUGUGUAUCUGCCCAAUUUUUCUCUUCUUCUCUAUGUUAAUCUCCUGGUUACUUCUGCCUUUCUCUUUCUGAUUUUAUGUGUGUUGUAAUCUCUGAGUGUAUGCUCCUUGCUGUACGAUAUGUAUGCUGCCACCUUCUCGGUUUAUGAUGCUUUGUGAAACGUGACUCUAUUUUUCAGAUUGCUUUUGCUUGAUUGUAUGGAAGUUGAUCUUUGGUUAUGGUCGUGUGAAUAGAUGUGUUAUAUCUAUGGUAUUGUUCCCCUCUGAUUUUUAUAGUGGUCCCUCCAUCAUCAUGCUAUCCCCUUUUUAUAGCUUUAUAUGGAUUACUCAAUGCCCUUUUGAAAACCCUCUGAUUUAUCAAAAAAUAUAACUCCUGGUGACCCAUUCACUUUCUGUUUUAAUGUACUUGAUGCUGUCAAUGAAUAGGGCCAUUUGAUAACUGAAAUAACUCCCGAUUUGUGCCUUUCUGAUAUUUUCCUUUAUGGCUUACGGCUGACUCUUUGGGUCACCCACAUGAAUGCUUUUAUUUUUUUUUUCAGUGAUUCAUGGUUGCCUUUGAUGACUUAUUAUGAGUUGAUAAUGAUAAUGUGUAACUGAAAUUGGGAUAGCUUAAUAGGUACAAAUUUCUGAUAUAUCUACUCUGUUGCUACUUUUUGAAAUUCUGUCUUAUCACUUUUCUACUUCUAUUCUGCUCACCUCAUGAUGGUUGCCUUUUAGCUUAUUUGUAACUGAUUUUGUACAAUUAUGCUCAUUAGUGUGCCUUUAUCACAGUUCUUCAGUUAUGGAUGAUGAAUCAAACAAUCUGAGUAUUUAGAUCUGCAACAAGUUCAGCAAAAGAUGAAGACUUAUCUCCUAGCAAUGUUGCAGGGGUAUCAUAUUCCUCAAUAAGUCUUUGAUCAAGAAGCAAAACCGUACUAAUGUCAAUAACAUAUGUUACUCUAUUGCAAUGUAAUGACACUAGAGUUAGUGAAAUGUUGCUUAAGAGUUUGCUGGAUUAAAUGAAACUUCCUUUUUUGAUGUGGCAUACCCAAAAUAUAAAGUGUUGCACUUUUGAGAUUUAAUGCUUCGUAUUUCAAGUUGAGGACAAUUUCUGAUUUUUUAUUAUUGUGG